RNAcentral lists this ribosomal RNA (475 nucleotides) under uncultured bacterium. Its description in RNAcentral is "bacterial SSU rRNA". It matches the Rfam family "Bacterial small subunit ribosomal RNA", at positions 15 to 518 of the family's 1533-position model. The record is from RNAcentral.
GAUUAUGGCUCAGGAUGAAUGCUGGCGGCAUGCCUAAUACAUGCAAGUCGAGCGGUAACAGGACUAGCUUGCUAGUGCUGACGAGCGGCGGACGGCUGAGUAACGCAUGGGAACGCACCCCAAACUGAGGGAUAACUAGUCGAAAGAUUAGCUAAUACCGCAUGUGAUCUUCGGAUUAAAGCCUUCGGGCGGUUUGGGAGCGGCCUGUGUACGAUUAGAUAGUUGGUGAGGUAAUGGCUCACCAAGUCGACGAUCGUUAGAUGGUUUGAGAGGAUGAUCAUCCAGACUGGAACUGAGACACGGUCCAGACUCCUACGGGAGGCAGCAGUAGGGAAUCUUUCACAAUGGGCGAAAGCCUGAAUGGAGCAAUGCCGCGUGCAGGACGAAGGCCUUCGGGUUGUAAACUGCUUUUAUAAGCGAGGAAUAUGACGGUAACUUAUGAAUAAGGAUCGGCUAACUACGUGCCAGCCGCCGC